Molecule: ribosomal RNA, 841 nt
Filed under: Xylaria hongkongensis
Lineage: Eukaryota; Fungi; Ascomycota; Sordariomycetes; Xylariales; Xylariaceae
Description: partial large subunit ribosomal RNA
Rfam family: Eukaryotic large subunit ribosomal RNA
Source: RNAcentral
AACAGGGAUUGCCCUAGUAACGGCGAGUGAAGCGGCAACAGCUCAAAUUUGAAAUCUGGCCUUCGGGUCCGAGUUGUAAUUUGUAGAGGAUGCUUUUGGCGCGGUGCCUUCCGAGUUCCCUGGAACGGGACGCCUUAGAGGGUGAGAGCCCCGUACGGUUGGACAUUAAGCCUUUGUAAAGCUCCUUCGACGAGUCGAGUAGUUUGGGAAUGCUGCUCUAAAUGGGAGGUAAAUUUCUUCUAAAGCUAAAUAUUGGCCAGAGACCGAUAGCGCACAAGUAGAGUGAUCGAAAGAUGAAAAGCACUUUGAAAAGAGGGUUAAAUAGCACGUGAAAUUGUUGAAAGGGAAGCGUUUGCGACCAGACCUUUUCUUGGCGGAUCAUCCGGUGUUAUCACCGGUGCACUUCGCCAAGUCGAGGCCAGCAUCGGUUUCUGUAGGGGGAUAAAAGCCUGGGGAAUGUGGCUCCUUCGGGAGUGUUAUAGCCCUUCGCAUAAUACCCUUACGGGGACCGAGGACCGCGCUUUAUGCAAGGAUGCUGGCGUAAUGGUCGUCAACGACCCGUCUUGAAACACGGACCAAGGAGUCGAACAUUUGUGCGAGUGUUUGGGUGUUAAACCCUCACGCGUAAUGAAAGUGAACGGAGGUGAGAGCCCUUACGGGUGCAUCAUCGACCGAUCCUGAUGUCUUCGGAUGGAUUUGAGUAAGAGCAUAACUGUUCGGACCCGAAAGAUGGUGAACUAUGCGUGGAUAGGGUGAAGCCAGAGGAAACUCUGGUGGAGGCUCGCAGCGGUUCUGACGUGCAAAUCGAUCGUCAAAUCUGCGCAUGGGGGCGAAAGACUUA